Molecule: ribosomal RNA, 1348 nt
Filed under: uncultured bacterium
Lineage: Bacteria
Description: bacterial SSU rRNA
Rfam family: Bacterial small subunit ribosomal RNA
Source: RNAcentral
GCUACAGGCUUAACACAUGCAAGUCGAGGGGCAUCAGGGAGAUAGCUUGCUAUCUUUGCUGGCGACCGGCGCACGGGUGAGUAACGCGUAUCCAACCUGCCCCGUACUCAGGGAUAGCCCGUUGAAAGACGGAUUAAUACCUGAUGUUCUCCUUUCUUGGCAUCUUGAUUGGAGCAAAGAUUGAUCGGUACGGGCUGGGGAUGCGUCUGAUUAGCUUGCCGGCGGGGUAACGGCCCACCGGGGCAACGAUCAGUAGGGGUUCUGAGAGGAAGGUCCCCCACAUUGGAACUGAGACACGGUCCAAACUCCUACGGGAGGCAGCAGUGAGGAAUAUUGGUCAAUGGAGGCAACUCUGAACCAGCCAAGUAGCGUGCAGGAUGACGGCCCUAUGGGUUGUAAACUGCUUUUAUGCGGGGAUAAAGGAGCCUACGUGUAGGUUUUUGCAGGUACCGCAUGAAUAAGGACCGGCUAAUUCCGUGCCAGCAGCCGCGGUAAUACGGAAGGUCCGGGCGUUAUCCGGAUUUAUUGGGUUUAAAGGGAGCGUAGACGGGAUGUUAAGUCAGUUGUGAAAGGCUGCGGCUCAACCGCAGCACUGCAGUUGAUACUGGCGUCCUUGAGUGCGGUUGAGGUAUGUGGAAUUCGUGGUGUAGCGGUGAAAUGCUUAGAUAUCACGAAGAACUCCGAUUGCGAAGGCAGCAUACUAAGCCGCUACUGACGUUGAGGCUCGAAAGUGUGGGUAUCAAACAGGAUUAGAUACCCUGGUAGUCCACACGGUAAACGAUGAAUACUCGCUGUUGGCGAUACAAUGUCAGCGGCCAAGCGAAAGCAUUAAGUAUUCCACCUGGGGAGUACGCCGGCAACGGUGAAACUCAAAGGAAUUGACGGGGGCCCGCACAAGCGGAGGAACAUGUGGUUUAAUUCGAUGAUACGCGAGGAACCUUACCCGGGCUUAAAUUGCAGAGGACAGGCGCAGAGAUGUGCUCUUCUUCGGACCUCUGUGAAGGUGCUGCAUGGUUGUCGUCAGCUCGUGCCGUGAGGUGUCGGCUUAAGUGCCAUAACGAGCGCAACCCUUGCCAAUAGUUACCAUCAGGUCAUGCUGGGGACUCUAUUGGGACUGCCAUCGUAAGAUGUGAGGAAGGUGGGGAUGACGUCAAAUCAGCACGGCCCUUACGUCCGGGGCUACACACGUGUUACAAUGGGUGGUACAGAGAGUCGGACGCCGGCAACGUCGUCCUAAUCCUUAAAGCCGUCCUCAGUUCGGAUUGGGGUCUGCAACCCGACCCCAUGAAGCUGGAUUCGCUAGUAAUCGCGCAUCAGCCAUGGCGCGGUGAAUACGUUCCCGGGCCUU